AAUCAACGCUGGCGGCGUGCCUCAGACAUGCAAGUCGAACGAUUAAAGCUCUCUUCGGAGAGUGUAUAGAGUGGCGCACGGGUGAGUAACACGUAAGUAAUCUACCCUCGAGUGGGAAUAACAACCGGAAACGGUUGCUAAUACCGCAUAAUGCAGCGGCACCGCAAGGUGACAGUUGUUAAAGAUUUAUCGCUUGAGGAGGAGCUUGCGGCAGAUUAGCUAGUUGGUAGGGUAACGGCUUACCAAGGCUACGAUCUGUAACCGGUCUAAGAGGACGGUCGGUCACACUGACACUGAAUAACGGGUCAGACUCCUACGGGAGGCAGCAGUCGGGAAUUUUGGGCAAUGGGCGAAAGCCUGACCCAGCAACGCCGCGUGAAGGAUGAAGUAUUUCGGUAUGUAAACUUCGAAAGAAUAGGAAGAAGUUAAUGACGGUACUAUUUAUAAGGUCCGGCUAACACGUGCCAGCAGCCGCGGUAAU
RNAcentral lists this ribosomal RNA (481 nucleotides) under uncultured bacterium. RNAcentral's name for it is "bacterial SSU rRNA". It matches the Rfam family "Bacterial small subunit ribosomal RNA", at positions 32 to 524 of the family's 1533-position model. The record is from RNAcentral.